Molecule: long non-coding RNA, 1180 nt
Organism: Homarus americanus (American lobster)
Lineage: Eukaryota; Metazoa; Arthropoda; Malacostraca; Decapoda; Nephropidae
Exons: 4
Source: RefSeq, a predicted model, not a curated record
GUGGUAUUUCUGUAACACUUAAGGAAUCUUUUGAUACAGCAGCAGCAGCAGGACGGCCCACUGACCAAACCUUACCUACAGCGGCUGGCGAGGAAGGCCUCCUUCAGUAGCAGCGAGAGUGUCUUCACCCCCGUAGACAACAGCACAGUGAAGGCAACACCGUGUGUGUGUGGCUCCAAUCACUUACUCCACACCCGUCGAGGACUCACCAACCCCCAGGACCACCUCUCCAAGUCCUGCGGGGAUGUUUCUCCUGCCUCGCCCAUCCCACAGAAGCCAAUGCUUGAGGAGCUGGUCAGGUCCGAGCCCAGCCUGCCUAGGGGUCAACAACAAUCACCGUCAGGGUUUGUUGGUCCUGUCUUAAGACGAGUUUCCCAGAUGUUCCUUGGGUCAUCUCCCUUCCUUUGGCCCACCCCAGAGACUAAGAGGAGGCUGGAUAUUAAGAAAACAGAAAGCAAGUUACCCUUAGAGAGUAAAGGAGCAAGCUGUAAGAGGCCAGUGACCAGAAGUGUAGCAGAAGGUGGGACCUCGUGGGGAGACAGAGCAAUCCUCGGUGGUAGUAACUCACCCCGGAGAGCGGCAUCUGUCUCAUCGACAUCAUUCCAACCUUUUAAAUAUACUCGCCUGCAGAAUGACAACAAUGGUAAAUGGUCUUCGCUAACUGCCUGCCUCAACUCCCAGUGCCCCAGCGAAACCCUUCAUACCCCAGAAGUCAUCAGUUCCCGUAAGUUCCCACCAUAGUAGCCAAAAGGACAUCAAUGCCCACAAUAAUAGCCAAGAGGACAUCACUGCCCACCAUAGUAGCCAAGAGGACAUCACUGCCCACAUUAAUAGCCAAGAGGACAUCACUGCCCACAAUAAUAGCCAAAAGGACAUCACUACCCACAAUAAUAACCAAGAGGACAUCACUACCCACAAUAAUAACCAAGAGGACAUCACUACCCACAAUAAUAGCCAAGAGGACAUCACUACCCACAAUAAUAACCAAGAGGACAUCACUACCCACAAUAAUAGCCUAUCACUACCCACAAUAAUAACCUAUCACUACCCACAAUAAUAACCAAGAGGACAUCACUACCCUAUCAGUUCACAUAAUCAGUACUUCUCAUCACUAAACACAGUCAACAUUUUCCAUCGCCACACACACUUCCCAUCGCCACACACACUUCCCAUCGCCACA